Molecule: signal recognition particle RNA, 92 nt
Filed under: Obscuribacter sp. (SeqCode)
Lineage: Bacteria; Bacillati; Candidatus Melainabacteria; Candidatus Obscuribacterales; Obscuribacteraceae (SeqCode)
Description: signal recognition particle sRNA small type
Rfam family: Bacterial small signal recognition particle RNA
About the family: The signal recognition particle (SRP) is a universally conserved ribonucleoprotein involved in the co-translational targeting of proteins to membranes. Archaeal SRP consists of a 7S RNA and homologues of the eukaryotic SRP19 and SRP54 proteins.
Source: RNAcentral
GAUCGCUGGGCGCGGCGCAGGCCGACGAACCUGGUCAGGGGGGAAACCCAGCAGCCAUAAGUUGAACUUGCGGGUGCGAUCCAGCGGUCUGC